CAAUAGCGUAUAUUAAAGCUGUUGCGGUUAAAAAGCUCGUAGUUGGAUUUCUGUCAAGGACAACUGGUCCGCCCCUCGGGUGAGCACAUAGUUUGGUCUUGGCAUCUUGUUGGAAACUGUUGCUGCACUUGGUUGUGUGGCGCAGUGUCCAGCACUUUCACUUUGAGCAAAUUGGAGUGUUUCAAGCAGGCACAUGCCUUUGGACACAGUAGCAUGGAAUAAUUAGAUUGGGCUUUUGCUCCAACUUGUCGGUUUCUGGAGCUGAGGUGAGAAUUAAUGGGGAUUGUUGGGGGCAUCCGAAUUUAGCCGUCAGAGGUGAAAUUCUUGGAUCUGCUAAAGACGGACAACUGCGAAAGCGUUUGCCCAGGAUGUUUUCAUUGA
RNAcentral lists this ribosomal RNA (381 nucleotides) under uncultured eukaryote. RNAcentral's name for it is "partial 18S ribosomal RNA". It matches the Rfam family "Eukaryotic small subunit ribosomal RNA", at positions 592 to 976 of the family's 1831-position model. The record is from RNAcentral.